UACGUAGGGGGCAAGCGUUGUCCGGAAUCAUUGGGCGUAAAGAGCGUGUAGGCGGCCCGGUAAGUCCGAUGUGAAAGUCCAGGGCUCAACCCUGGGAUGCCGGUGGAUACUGUCGGGCUCGAGUCCGGAAGAGGAGUGUGGAAUUCCUGGUGUAGCGGUGAAAUGCGCAGAUAUCAGGAGGAACACCGGUGGCGAAGGCGGCGACCUGGGUAGAUACUGACGCUGAGGCGCGAAAGCGUGGGGAGCGAACAGG
RNAcentral lists this ribosomal RNA (253 nucleotides) under uncultured bacterium. Its description in RNAcentral is "partial 16S ribosomal RNA". It matches the Rfam family "Bacterial small subunit ribosomal RNA", at positions 524 to 776 of the family's 1533-position model. The record is from RNAcentral.